CCUACGGGGGGCAGCAGUAGGGAAUAUUGCUCAAUGGGGGAAACCCUGAAGCAGCAACGCCGCGUGGAGGAUGAAGGUUUUCGGAUUGUAAACUUCUUUUGUUAGAGAAGAUAAUGACGGUAUCUAACGAAUAAGCACCGGCUAAUUCCGUGCCAGCAGCCGCGGUAAUACGGAGGGUGCAAGCGUUACUCGGAAUCACUGGGCGUAAAGAGCGCGUAGGCGGGAUAGCAAGUCAGAUGUGAAAUCCUAUGGCUUAACCAUAGAACUGCAUUUGAAACUGUUAUUCUAGAGUAUGGGAGAGGUAGGUGGAAUUCGUGGUGUAGGGGUAAAAUGCGUAGAGAUCAAGAGGAAUACUCAUUGCGAAGGCGACCUGCUAGAACAUAACUGACGCUGAUGCGCGAAAGCGUGGGGAGCAAACAGGAUUAGAUACCCCAGUAGUC
Molecule: ribosomal RNA, 440 nt
Filed under: uncultured bacterium
Lineage: Bacteria
Description: partial 16S ribosomal RNA
Rfam family: Bacterial small subunit ribosomal RNA
Source: RNAcentral